GCACUGGUGGUUCGGUGGUGGAAUUCUUGCCUUCCAUGCAGAAGGCCUGGGUUCGAUUCCCAGCCAAUGCC
Molecule: transfer RNA, 71 nt
Filed under: Loxodonta africana (African savanna elephant)
Lineage: Eukaryota; Metazoa; Chordata; Mammalia; Proboscidea; Elephantidae
Rfam family: tRNA
About the family: Transfer RNA (tRNA) molecules are approximately 80 nucleotides in length.
Source: Rfam by way of RNAcentral